RNAcentral lists this ribosomal RNA (465 nucleotides) under Vreelandella stevensii. Its description in RNAcentral is "partial 16S ribosomal RNA". It matches the Rfam family "Bacterial small subunit ribosomal RNA", at positions 338 to 795 of the family's 1533-position model. The record is from RNAcentral. Lineage: Bacteria; Pseudomonadati; Pseudomonadota; Gammaproteobacteria; Oceanospirillales; Halomonadaceae.
CCUACGGGUGGCUGCAGUGGGGAAUAUUGGACAAUGGGGGGAACCCUGAUCCAGCCAUGCCGCGUGUGUGGAGAAGGCCCUCGGGUUGUAAAGCACUUUCAGUGAGGAAGAACGCCUGGUGGUUAAUACCCAUCAGGAAAGACAUCACUCACAGAAGAAGCACCGGCUAACUCCGUGCCAGCAGCCGCGGUAAUACGGAGGGUGCGAGCGUUAAUCGGAAUUACUGGGCGUAAAGCGCGCGUAGGUGGCUUGAUAAGCCGGUUGUGAAAGCCCCGGGCUCAACCUGGGAACGGCAUCCGGAACUGUCAAGCUAGAGUGCAGGAGAGGAAGGUAGAAUUCCCGGUGUAGCGGUGAAAUGCGUAGAGAUCGGGAGGAAUACCAGUGGCGAAGGCGGCCUUCUGGACUGACACUGACACUGAGGUGCGAAAGCGUGGGUAGCAAACAGGAUUAGAUACCCUAGUAGUC